GACGAACGCUGGCGGCGUGCCUAAUACAUGCAAGUAGAACGCUGAAGGAGGAGCUUGCCCUUCUGGAUGAGUUGCGAACGGGUGAGUAACGCGUAGGUAACCUGCCUGGUAGCGGGGGAUAACUAUUGGAAACGAUAGCUAAUACCGCAUAACAGUAGAUGUUGCAUGACAUUUACUUAAAAGGUGCAAUUGCAUCACUACCAGAUGGACCUGCGUUGUAUUAGCUAGUUGGUGGGGUAACGGCUCACCAAGGCGACGAUACAUAGCCGACCUGAGAGGGUGAUCGGCCACACUGGGACUGAGACACGGCCCAGACUCCUACGGGAGGCAGCAGUAGGGAAUCUUCGGCAAUGGACGGAAGUCUGACCGAGCAACGCCGCGUGAGUGAAGAAGGUUUUCGGAUCGUAAAGCUCUGUUGUAAGAGAAGAACGAGUGUGAGAGUGGAAAGUUCACACUGUGACGGUAUCUUACCAGAAAGGGACGGCUAACUACGUG
Molecule: ribosomal RNA, 495 nt
Filed under: uncultured bacterium
Lineage: Bacteria
Description: partial 16S ribosomal RNA
Rfam family: Bacterial small subunit ribosomal RNA
Source: RNAcentral